AUCGCUUCUCAGCCUUUUGGCUAAGAUCAAGUGGAGAAUAGACCUUUAAGUCCACAUAAAAUGGAUUAAUUUAUCUUUUAAAAUGCCAACACUG
RNAcentral lists this small RNA (94 nucleotides) under Marmota monax (woodchuck). Lineage: Eukaryota; Metazoa; Chordata; Mammalia; Rodentia; Sciuridae. The record is from RNAcentral.